Molecule: small RNA, 485 nt
Filed under: Mus caroli (Ryukyu mouse)
Lineage: Eukaryota; Metazoa; Chordata; Mammalia; Rodentia; Muridae
Description: sRNA (MGP_CAROLIEiJ_G0013769.1)
Source: RNAcentral
GGCGCUGGGAAGGCGGGGUGGCGGCGGCGGCGGCCGCCUGGUAGACUGGCGCUGGGUGAGGCUGUUGGUAGACUCCACCCGGCUUCACCUUCUCAGUGUAGAGAAAGAUUUCCUUAAAAUGACAGCCUGCCAAUCUCCAAGCAAGAUCAUAUCCCCUGUACUGGCUGGGUUUGUGUGUCAACAAGCUGGAGUUAUCACAGAAAAAAGCAGCCUCCCCUGUGGAAAUGUGUCCAUGAGAUCCAGCUGUAAGGCAUUUUCUCAAUUAGUGAUCAAGGGUAGGAGGGCCCAUUGUGAGUGGUGCCAUUCCUGGGCUGUUAGUCCUGGAUUCUACAGGAAAACACACUGAGCAAGCCAGGGGAAGCAAGCCAGUAACAUUCCUCCGUGGGCUUUGCUCCUGCUUCCUGACCUGCUUGAGUUCCAGUCCAGACUUCCGUGGUGAUGAACAGCAGUAUGGAAGUGUAAGCUGAAUAAACCCUUUCCUCCAC